This 422-nucleotide ribosomal RNA is filed under the name uncultured prokaryote. RNAcentral describes it as "bacterial SSU rRNA". It matches the Rfam family "Bacterial small subunit ribosomal RNA", at positions 355 to 774 of the family's 1533-position model. The record is from RNAcentral.
UGAGGAAUAUUGGUCAAUGGGCGAGAGCCUGAACCAGCCAUCCCGCGUGCAGGAGGAAGGCCCUAUGGGUUGUAAACUGCUUUUGUGCAUGAAGAACACCCCGCUCGAGAGCGGGGCUGACGGUAAUGCGUGAAUAAGCACCGGCUAACUCCGUGCCAGCAGCCGCGGUAAUACGGAGGGUGCAAGCGUUAUCCGGAUUUAUUGGGUUUAAAGGGUGCGUAGGCGGCCUUUUAAGUCAGUGGUGAAAACCUGCGGCUCAACCGUAGGCGUGCCAUUGAAACUGAAGGGCUUGAGUUAUCAUGAGGCAGGCGGAAUGUGUAGUGUAGCGGUGAAAUGCUUAGAUAUUACACAGAACACCGAUUGCGUAGGCAGCUUGCUAAAGGUACACUGACGCUGAUGCACGAAAGCGUGGGGAUCGAACA